Molecule: ribosomal RNA, 40 nt
Filed under: Naucleopsis krukovii
Lineage: Eukaryota; Viridiplantae; Streptophyta; Magnoliopsida; Rosales; Moraceae
Also listed under: 3 other names
Description: partial 26S ribosomal RNA
Source: RNAcentral
CAACGCGACCCCAGGUCAGGCGGGGCCACCCGCUGAGUUU